UAUUAUCCUCGCUCCCUCUUAGGAAGUGGUGGGAUAAUCAUUCCCCAUUUAACGGCUGGGAAACCUGGCACAGCACACAUUAAGUGAUUUGCUGACAGGCACACAAGAAAAUCGCGCUAGUCAAGCGUUCUCCCAAUUAUGCCAUCCUUGGAACUGCAUAAUUUCCCUGCGUGAUUCCAAACACGGCUCAGACUCCCUGGGCAGGGCUUCAUCUCUGCAGAGCGUGCAGCUCAGAUCAGCCGCCAGGACCCGUCUGUGUCCCCCCGGGGGCUCCUCGGGCCACGGACCCGCAGCUCCGGUGCCACCGCAGAGGCGCAGGAGCCCUUGGGGCAGCUGUGUCUUACACAGGACAAGAGGGGACAGAACUUUUCAGACCUUUGUUUGUCUGCAGUCAGAGCAGUGGAACCAGAAAUGGAACCCAACAUCUUCCCCAACAUCAGAAGUUGCCAUUAGAAAAUUAACAGAAAAGCUAUUCAAAAAUUGUGGGGUUUUCCUUCUCCAGAGGAAAAACACAAAGAAUUUUCAGUUGGAAGACCUUAACUCCAAGGAAUUUCUGCAUCUGGCUCCACACUGACCCACAAACAGCACCCCUGGUUCACCCAUCCUUGUCUUUUUUAAGUUAAAAAGGAAAAUUUCCAGGCUCACAGCACUUGGGAUGCUCUUUGCACACUGUGAAGGAGUUUCCUCCUGCCCCUGUGGCUCCUUCAGGAAUGAGGAGGGGUCUGGGGACAGCUCUGCUCCCACUCUGGGAGCUCAGCCCUGGCUCCCCCUGGGUUGGAAACACAUGAAAAUGUUUUCAGACCCCAAUUCCUCAGCGUUUGCCUCCGACAGUCGAUCUCAAGGGAUGGAUAAUCUCAUUUACCUCUGUUACUACAAAUCAAACCAGCAGCAAAUUAAAUGGAUCUGAAGGCCAAGAUUAAAGGCUCCAAACGCUUGGGAAGUGCCUGUGAUGCAAAGAGCUGUAAAUAUAAUUUCCUUUUUUCAGCUGGGGGGGAUGGAAAAGCCCUACCCAGAUGCUGCUCUCUUACCUGGAAAGCAAGGACAGGAUCAUGGAAGAAUUAAGGCUGGAAAAGACCUCCAAGAUCAAGUCCAACCACUAAUCCAGCCCUGCCAGGCUCACCACCAUGGCUGGAAAAGGAGGAAAAAAAUCAAAAUGAGUUUGUUCAUCACCCUUUUCCAGCUCUGGGAAACGCCUUUGUGGCCAGCUGAGGUUUAGGCUGGCUCAGAGCUGGGGCUCAGAGGGGCUGAGCCCAGGACUGCUGGUUCCCUGGCUGGGAUUUCAGGGAUUCCUGGCCCCACUGAUGCUUCUCCAGCUUCUUUUCCUGAGGUGGGACACAGGACAUCACCAGAGCCCUCCUGUGCCACAGAAUCCCCUGGGUCAGACCAAAAAUCCUGCGUGGAUGGAGCAGCAAAACUGGGAGAGCUCCCCCAGAAAAAAAGAAAUGCAGGAUCUGACACUGAGCAAGCAGAUGGGAAAGAAAUGGGUGUGAAACCCUGGUUAGAAAUGGCACCGUGGAUGUUCCCUGGAAUUUGAGCCCCAAGUCCCACUGUCGCCCUGGUUUUUUAUGAUUUUUCUAAACCUUUUGAUGUUUACAUUCUUGUAAGGAACUUUCUCACACACUUCCUGUAAAUAACUCAUUGUUUUGCAUUCUCUUAUGGAGGAGGAGAGAUUGGAUGGUUUGUCCAGUGUCAUUGGAGAGGUGGCACUGUCACCCUCCAAUCCACUGUCACUGUUGGAAAUCUGUAAAUGUUGGAGUCAGAAAUUAAACCUAGAAACUAAACCUAUAAAUGUUGGGGAUCUAUAAAUGUGGGAGUCAGAAAUCAAAUCUAAAUCUAGAAACUAAAUCUAUAAAUGUUGGGAAUCUAUAAA
This is a long non-coding RNA of Haemorhous mexicanus (house finch), 1870 nucleotides long. RefSeq lists it as uncharacterized. The record is from RefSeq and is a predicted model, not a curated record. NCBI's taxonomy places the organism in Eukaryota, Metazoa, Chordata, Aves, Passeriformes, Fringillidae. The transcript is spliced from 2 exons.